Molecule: ribosomal RNA, 507 nt
Filed under: uncultured bacterium
Lineage: Bacteria
Description: bacterial SSU rRNA
Rfam family: Bacterial small subunit ribosomal RNA
Source: RNAcentral
GAUCCUGGCUUAGGAUGAACGCUAGCGGCAGGCUUAACACAUGCAAGUCGAGGGGCAUCGGGAGUAGCAAUACUUGCCGGCGACCGGCGCAAGGGUGCGUAACGCGUGAGCAACAUGCCCGUAUCAGGGGGAUAAUCCAUGGAAACGUGGUCUAAUACCCCAUAGUAAUUAUGUAAGGCAUCUUAUAUAAUUUAAAGCUUUGGUGGAUACGGAUUGGCUCGCGUGACAUUAGCUAGAUGGUAAGGUAACGGCUUACCAUGGCUACGAUGUCUAGGGGUUCUGAGAGGAAGGCCCCCACACUGGAACUGAGACACGGUCCAGACUCCUACGGGAGGCAGCAGUGAGGAAUAUUGGACAAUGGAUGGAAAUCUGAUCCAGCCAUGCCGCGUGCAGGAAGACGGCCCUAUGGGUUGUAAACUGCUUUUGUAUGGGAGCAAUAAGGGCUACGCGUAGUCCGAUGAGAGUACCAUACGAAUAAGCACCGGCUAACUCCGUGCCAGCCGCCGC